GACGUAGGGAGCGAGCGUUGUCCGGAUUCAUUGGGCGUAAAGCGCGCGUAGGCGGUUUGGUAAGUCGGAUGUGAAAUCCCGAGGCUCAACCUCGGGACUGCAUCCGAUACUGCCCGACUAGAGGUAGGUAGGGGAGAUCGGAAUUCCAGGUGUAGCGGUGAAAUGCGUAGAUAUCUGGAGGAAUACCGGUGGCGAAGGCGGCAUCCUGGACCGAGAUUGACACUGAGGAGCGAAAGCCAGGGGAGCAAACGGG
This 253-nucleotide ribosomal RNA is filed under the name uncultured bacterium. Its description in RNAcentral is "partial 16S ribosomal RNA". It matches the Rfam family "Bacterial small subunit ribosomal RNA", at positions 524 to 776 of the family's 1533-position model. The record is from RNAcentral.